Molecule: ribosomal RNA, 897 nt
Filed under: Triticum aestivum (bread wheat)
Lineage: Eukaryota; Viridiplantae; Streptophyta; Magnoliopsida; Poales; Poaceae
Description: partial small subunit ribosomal RNA
Source: RNAcentral
AUGGGGAUGAGGGGCCCCGCCCGAAGAGGCCGUUGGAGCGCCCUGAGUCCUCUCGCCCUCCGCGCGGCCCUCCCAUGCCGGCUAGGGACGGCGCCCGACGGGGGGCCGACAACCGCCGGCUCGCUGACCGGGAUGACUGGGCCGCUCCCCGCAGAGCUUGGGCAGCCGCUCCCUACCGGCCGCCCCCCGCUCGUGAGGGCACCCUUGACGGCCGCCGCGACGCGCGACUCCCUCUGCCUGGUUCCCAGGGGGCGCGACGCCGGGAGGAGGCUGGGCGGCUGCGUGAAGACAACCAGCGACGCGAAGAUGAACUCCACUCCGAGCUACAGCGCCGACCUGUGUACUCCGCCCCUAGCCGACCUGGUCCGGAGGUGGGCCAGAGCUCGCGCCAAGGCGCCCGGAGUUCCGCAGGUCCUCGUCCUGGUCGCACGGUACACCCCCCGUUGCACCUCGGAGGAGGCUCCGGGUCCAGUUGGGCCGUCGACGAAGCGGAAGAAGAAGCACUCGGGUGGGCUCAAUGGUCCUACCAUCAUGGAUGGAUCGGGGAGGUCGGCCGUCGGGGAGCCGGAGCAGGAGGCCCCGGUGAUUCCCCCGGCCAGAGCCAGUCGCGCCCGGACCCAUGACGAGACGCUGUGCAUCAACUGUGGGUGUGCCGGUCACUUCCGUUCGGAGUGCUUGGCGCCCUCCCGGUGCCCUACCACUCUUGCCUACCUGGGGUACGGGGUGGAGGGGGGUGGCUUCUACUAUGUGCACGCGACCCUGGAGGACGAACCCGUCCGGCCUCAUGCUGGAUGCGCUUCUGGAUUCGACACGUCUUUUAUCGUCGUCGUAGGACCGCCUGACGACUGGCACCAGGUGGUUUUUUUCCUUAUUUCUCUCUUGGUUUUUUGGGCAUGA